This 483-nucleotide ribosomal RNA is filed under the name uncultured bacterium. RNAcentral describes it as "partial 16S ribosomal RNA". It matches the Rfam family "Bacterial small subunit ribosomal RNA", at positions 29 to 507 of the family's 1533-position model. The record is from RNAcentral.
AUUGAACGCUGGCGGCAUGCUUUACACAUGCAAGUCGAACGGCAGCGCGGGCUUCGGCCUGGCGGCGAGUGGCGAACGGGUGAGUAAUGCAUCGGAACGUGCCCAGUAGUGGGGGAUAGCCCGGCGAAAGCCGGAUUAAUACCGCAUACGACCUGAGGGUGAAAGCGGGGGACCGAAAGGCCUCGCGCUAUUGGCGCGGCCGAUGUCGGAUUAGCUAGUUGGUGGGGUAAGGGCUUACCAAGGCGACGAUCCGUAGCUGGUCUGAGAGGACGACCAGCCACACUGGGACUGAGACACGGCCAAGACUCCUACGGGAGGAAGCAGUGGGAAAUUUUGGACAAGGGGGCAACCCUGAUCCAGCCAUGCCGCGUGCGGGAAGAAGGCCUUCGGGUUGUAAACCGCUUUUGUUCGGGAAGAAAUCCUCUGGGCUAAUACCCCGGGGGGAUGACGGUACCGGAAGAAUAAGCACCGGCUAACUACGUG